AGAGAGGUGGCCGAGUGGUCGAAGGCGCACGCCUGGAAAGUGUGUAUCCCGCUAUCGCGGGAUCGAGGGUUCGAAUCCCUUCCUCUCUGCAA
Molecule: transfer RNA, 92 nt
Filed under: Flavobacteriaceae bacterium
Lineage: Bacteria; Pseudomonadati; Bacteroidota; Flavobacteriia; Flavobacteriales; Flavobacteriaceae
Description: tRNA-Ser
Rfam family: tRNA
About the family: Transfer RNA (tRNA) molecules are approximately 80 nucleotides in length. Their secondary structure includes four short double-helical elements and three loops (D, anti-codon, and T loops).
Source: RNAcentral